GACGAACGCUGGCGGCGUGCUUAACACAUGCAAGUCGAACGAGGUCCAUCCAAUGGCAACAUUGGUGAAGAUCUAGUGGCGAACGGGUGAGUAACACGUGAGGAACCCACCCCGAUCUCA
This 120-nucleotide ribosomal RNA is filed under the name uncultured bacterium. Its description in RNAcentral is "partial 16S ribosomal RNA". It matches the Rfam family "Bacterial small subunit ribosomal RNA", at positions 28 to 139 of the family's 1533-position model. The record is from RNAcentral.